This 291-nucleotide ribosomal RNA is filed under the name Triticum aestivum (bread wheat). Its description in RNAcentral is "partial small subunit ribosomal RNA". Lineage: Eukaryota; Viridiplantae; Streptophyta; Magnoliopsida; Poales; Poaceae. The record is from RNAcentral.
AUGAGUCUAGCGUGUCUCGUAUGCCAUGGCAUGAGCAGCCCUUCACAGUCUUUCAGAAGUUAUUCAGUCUCAAGCUCAGAGGAGGAAAACAGGUGUGGAGCUGCUGUUGCCUGCCUAUCGCGGAAAAUUUUGGCCGCAGGACCUGCUAACUGUGUGGGAACCUCAAAGGUGACACCUGUAAUGGCCACUGGACAAGGCAUUGAGGGUGCUCCUCGCCUUCAACGGAGCCGUGCUGUUUCAAGGGAUCUUGUCAGGGACUGGAACUUCGACGAGAUCGUUGUUGGGAACUAG